GUAGUUUAUGGGGAAGGAACACCAGGGGGGAGGAUUUCUUUUUUGGUCUCCAACCGUUGGUGAGUCAGAGAUAGGGUGGGGAGCAAACAGUAUUAGACACCGUGGUAGGUCCCCGCAGUAAUGAUGAGUGUUAAGUGUUAGGGGUGUUCCGCCCUUUAGUGCUGCAGCUAAAGCAUUAAGCACUCCGCAUGGGGAGUACGGCCGCAAGGCUGAAAUUCAAAGGAAUUGACGGGGGCCCGCACAAGCGGUGGAGCAUGUGGUUUAAUUCGAAGCAACGCGAAGAACCUUACCAGGUCUUGACAUCCCGCUGACCGCCUUAGAGAUAAGGCUUUCCCUUCGGGGACAGCGGUGACAGGUGGUGCAUGGUUGUCGUCAGCUCGUGUCGUGAGAUGUUGGGUUAAGUCCCGCAACGAGCGCAACCCUUGAUUUUAGUUGCCAGCAUUCAGUUGGGCACUUUAAGGUGACUGCCGGUGACAAACCGGAGGAAGGUGGGGAUGACGUCAAAUCAUCAUGCCCCUUAUGACCUGGGCUACACACGUGCUACAAUGGACGGUACAAAGGGCAGCCAACCCGCGAGGGGGAGCCAAUCCCAGAAAACCGUUUUCAGUUCGGAUUGCAGGCUGCAACUCGCCUGCAUGAAGCCGGAAUCGUUAGUAAUCGUGGAUCAGCAUGCCACGGUGAAUACGUUCCCGGGCCUUGUACACACCGCCCGUCACACCACGAGAGUUUGUAACACCCGAAGUCGGUGAGUAAACCC
RNAcentral lists this ribosomal RNA (757 nucleotides) under Planomicrobium sp. EGU782. RNAcentral's name for it is "bacterial SSU rRNA". It matches the Rfam family "Bacterial small subunit ribosomal RNA", at positions 690 to 1441 of the family's 1533-position model. Lineage: Bacteria; Bacillati; Bacillota; Bacilli; Caryophanales; Caryophanaceae. The record is from RNAcentral.